CCCAUAUCCCCACCCCAUAUUUCCCCCCCCCCCUCCUGUUUCCUUUUAGAUCUGCCCCUGUGGUCUAUUAAGCCCCUCCCACUGCGCAUUUUGGCAACAACAUGUGCACCACUCAAAUGCUACUGUGCAUGUUACGCAGCAUGUUGCAAAUUUGUGCAUAUAUAUAUUACAGUAACUAAAUCAUGAUAUAUUACAGUAAAAUGGUACAUGAGUUGUGUUGUCUUUAUAUUUUAACUAAAAGUGCAAAAGAGUUUAUUAUGAAAAUGGAAAAAAGGACCAAUGUGGAAAUACAGUAAUUAUAUAAACUGUGUUUAUGAAACAUUUUUAAUAAAUUGCUCUUAAAAUUAUGUAGACAGGUGCCAUUCUGAAAUAGUGAUCAUUCAUUACACAGCGUGAAUUGUUCAUAAAUGUUAGACCAACUGCUGCAUGACAACAAAUUUUUCUGGGGGGGGGAAUGAUAUUUUGGAGGUUGAGAAAUGUGAUCUAAGCUUUUUAUUCUUUUAAACUUAAAUUAGUGGGGAUGUAUUUGAAUUUGGUUAUUAUUUAUUGUCUACCGGUUUGGGGAGUUAUUAAAUAUGUUUGUUGAUUAAUUUGAGACUAGACAAAGUAGACAUACAUAAAAUAUCUCAUAGAGACUUUAUUAUUAAAAGGCAUUUUUAAUUAUCUUGGAAUA
Patiria miniata (bat star) is the source of this 673-nucleotide long non-coding RNA. RefSeq lists it as uncharacterized. NCBI's taxonomy places the organism in Eukaryota, Metazoa, Echinodermata, Asteroidea, Valvatida, Asterinidae. The transcript has 2 exons. The record is from RefSeq and is a predicted model, not a curated record.